RNAcentral lists this ribosomal RNA (1236 nucleotides) under Thraustochytrium sp. LLF1b. RNAcentral's name for it is "partial Bacterial large subunit ribosomal RNA". It matches the Rfam family "Bacterial large subunit ribosomal RNA", at positions 1597 to 2911 of the family's 2925-position model. The record is from RNAcentral. Lineage: Eukaryota; Bigyra; Thraustochytrida; Thraustochytriidae.
AUAUUUAAAUUUCAAGAAAUAAAUACUAAUUAAAACCGUACUCAAUCCGACUCAGGUGAACAAGCAUAAAUGUGCUAAGACUUUGUAAGAACUAUUUAGAAGGAACUCGGCAAAAUUACUUUGUAACUUCGGGAUAAAAAGGGCCUUUGAUAAGGUAGCAUGAAAUUGAAAGUAGCGACUGUUUAGCAAAAACAUAGGUCUUUGCAAACUUGUAAAAGGUUGUAUAAGGACUGACGCCUGCCCAGUGCUGAAUAAUUAAAAUAAAAAGUAUUUGCUUUGAAUAUAAGUUUCAGUAAACGGCCGCGGUAAUUCUGACCGUGCUAAGGUAGCGAAAUUCCUUGGUCACUAAUUAUGAUCCUGCAUGAAAGGCGUAACGACUGCUUUACUGUCUCCUAAAUAGAUACAGUGAAAUUGCAAUCUUUGUGAAGAUGCAAAGUAAAAAAGAUUGGGCGAGAAGACCCUAUAGACCUUAACUGCACUUUUUUAUUGCUUUUCUUUUUAAAUUGUACAAGCAAAUGGGAGAGUUUAAAAACUCUAAAGAUGAAAAACCGUUCUUUUUAAAAAGAAAAGCUAACUUAGCUUUUAGCAAGGACAUUGAAAAACUGGUAGUUUAUCUGGGGCGGAUUCCUCCUAAAGUGUAACGGAGGAGCACAAAGGCAAAUAAAUUCUCGUAAAUAAAAGAAUUUAAAUGUGUAAUGGCAAAAAUUUGCUUUACUGUGAGAAAGAUAUUUCAAACAGUAGUUUAAUAGCUGGUCAUAGUGAUCCGGUAGUUUUGAAAGGAAAAGCUAUCGCUCAACAAAUAAAAGGUACCUUAGGGAUAACAGGCUUAUGUUUUUUUAGAGCUCUUAUCGACAAAAACGUUUGGCACCUCGAUGUCGGUUUAACAUUUCCUGGUGGUGCAGAAGCUGCCAAGGGUUUGGCUGUUCGCCGAUUAAAAUGUUACAUGAACUGGGUUCAGAACGCCGUGAGGCAGUUUGGUCUCUACCCUUCUUUUUAUUAAGAGAAUAAAAAACACAUUUUACUAGUACGAGAGGACCGUAAGAUAUUAAUCACUGGUGUACCUGUUGUUUAAAAAAGCAUCGCAGGGUAGCUACAUUUAAUUUAAGAUAACUGUUGAAAGCAACUUAAACAGGAAACUUCGUUUUUAAAUCUCUAAAAACUGAGAAAGAUAUAAUCUCAUUGAUAGGUUUGGUGUGUAUAAAAGGAUAACUUUAAAGCUUACAAAUACUAAAUUUA